GGCGCUUUAGCUCAGCUGGUUAGAGCGACGGAAUCAUAAUCCGCAGGUCCGGGGUUCAAAUCCCUGAAGCGCCACCA
This 77-nucleotide transfer RNA is filed under the name Leptothrix sp. (in: b-proteobacteria). RNAcentral's name for it is "tRNA-Met". It matches the Rfam family "tRNA". Rfam says of the family: Transfer RNA (tRNA) molecules are approximately 80 nucleotides in length. Their secondary structure includes four short double-helical elements and three loops (D, anti-codon, and T loops). RNAcentral also lists the same sequence under 12 other names. Lineage: Bacteria; Pseudomonadati; Pseudomonadota; Betaproteobacteria; Burkholderiales; Sphaerotilaceae. The record is from RNAcentral.